RNAcentral lists this ribosomal RNA (700 nucleotides) under uncultured bacterium. Its description in RNAcentral is "bacterial SSU rRNA". It matches the Rfam family "Bacterial small subunit ribosomal RNA", at positions 8 to 705 of the family's 1533-position model. The record is from RNAcentral.
AGAGUUUGAUCAUGGCUCAGGAUGAACGCUAGCGGCAGGCCUAACACAUGCAAGUCGAGGGGUAACGAUGUCUUCGGACAGGCGACGACCGGCGCACGGGUGCGUAACGCGUAUGCAACCUACCUUUAACUGGAAGAUAGCCCCGAGAAAUCGGGAUUAAUACUCCAUAAUAUUUUUUAGUGGCAUCACUUUAAAAUUAAAGCUCUGGCGGUUAAAGAUGGGCAUGCGUGACAUUAGUUAGUUGGUGAGGUAACGGCUCACCAAGACUACGAUGUCUAGGGGUUCUGAGAGGAUUAACCCCCACACUGGUACUGAGACACGGACCAGACUCCUACGGGAGGCAGCAGUGAGGAAUAUUGGGCAAUGGACGCAAGUCUGACCCAGCCAUGCCGCGUGAAGGAUGAAGGCCUUAUGGGUUGUAAACUUCUUUUAUACGGGAAUAAACUUAGCUAUGUAUAGCUAACUGCAUGUACCGUACGAAUAAGCACCGGCUAACUCCGUGCCAGCAGCCGCGGUAAUACGGAGGGUGCAAGCGUUAUCCGGAUUUAUUGGGUUUAAAGGGUCCGCAGGCGGACUAAUAAGUCAGUGGUGAAAUCUCUCGGCUCAACCGAGAAACUGCCAUUGAUACUGUUAGUCUAGAGUGUAGUUGGCGUAGGCGGAAUGUAUCAUGUAGCGGUGAAAUGCUUAGAUAUGAUACAGA